AUAUUAGUUGUAAAAUAACUCGAGUAUAGAUAGCGCCACACGUUUCCGUAACUGUCCUUUUACUGGCGGUACAAUAAUCAAGCAAAAUGACGGAGGGUACAGUUACGAUUAGAACCAGAAAAUUCAUGAGCAAUCGGCUAUUAUGCCGAAAACAAAUGGUUGUAGAUGUUUUUCAUCCAAGCCAUCCAUCAGUUCGUAAAACUGAAAUACGUGAAAAACUAGCCAAAAUGUACAAAGUUACUCCAGAUGUAGUUUUUGUUUUUGGCUUCCAAACCAACUUUGGUGGUGGUAAAUCUACUGGAUUUGCACUGGUCUACGACACAUUAGACUUUGCUAAGAAAUUUGAACCUAAAUAUAGGUUAGCAAGGCAUGGACUAUAUGAGAAACAAAAGCAAACAAGGAAACAGCGUAAAGAACGUAAGAACAGGAUGAAGAAAGUUAGGGGUACAAAGAAGAGUAAAGUUGGAGCUGCAUCUAAAAAGGGAAGGAAGUAGACAAAUGCUCAUCAUUUGUACUACAAGCCUCAAGAAGGAACUUAAUUAUGAUGCUCAUACAUGUAAAACUACAAGACAUCACGAGGACCACGCUUUGUGUGACAUCGACGUAAAAAUUAUUAUAAUAAUUUAUUACCAUAGAAUGAUUAUGAUAAGUUUUACGGAAUAAACGUGUACUCUUCUUGAUGAAAAAAAAAAAA
Molecule: RNA transcript, 694 nt
Organism: Hylaeus volcanicus
Lineage: Eukaryota; Metazoa; Arthropoda; Insecta; Hymenoptera; Colletidae
Gene: RpS24
Gene name: 40S ribosomal protein S24
Exons: 5
Source: RefSeq, a predicted model, not a curated record